RNAcentral lists this ribosomal RNA (372 nucleotides) under uncultured organism. Its description in RNAcentral is "bacterial SSU rRNA". It matches the Rfam family "Bacterial small subunit ribosomal RNA", at positions 526 to 896 of the family's 1533-position model. The record is from RNAcentral.
CGUAGGGUGCGAGCGUUAAUCGGAAUUACUGGGCGUAAAGCGUGCGCAGGCGGUUUAGUAAGACAGGCGUGAAAUCCCCGGGCUCAACCUGGGAACUGCGCUUGUGACUGCUAAGCUAGAGUACGGCAGAGGGGGGUGGUAUUCCACGUGUAGCAGUGAAAUGCGUAGAGAUGUGGAGGAACACCAAUGGCGAAGGCAGCCCCCUGGGUCGAUACUGACGCUCAUGCACGAAAGCGUGGGUAGCAAACAGGAUUAGAUACCCUGGUAGUCCACGCCCUAAACGAUGUCAACUAGGUGUUGGGAGGGUAAAACCUUUUAGUACCGGAGCUAACGCGUGAAGUUGACCGCCUGGGGAGUACGGCCGCAAGGUUA